AUGAUUUCCCUAGUAACGGCGAGUGAAGAGGAAAGAGCUCAAAGUUGGAACCUGUUUGGCUUAGCUAAACCGGAUUGUAAACUGUAGAAGUGUUUUCCAGACACGCCUGGUAAAAAAGUCCUUUGGAACAGGGCAUCAUAGAGGGUGAGAAUCCCGUCUUUGGCCAGAGCUGUUGUCUUUUGUGAUACAUUUUCAAAGAGUCAGGUUGUUUGGGAAUGCAGCCUAAAUUGGGUGGUAAAUCUCACCUAAAGCUAAAUAUUUGCGAGAGACCGAUAGCGAACAAGUACCGUGAGGGAAAGAUGAAAAGAACUUUGAAAGGAGAGUUAAACAGUAUGUGAAAUUGUUAAAAGGGAACCGUUUGGAGCCAGACUGGCUUGACUGUAAUCAAUCUAGGCUUCGGCCUGGAUGCACUUGCGGUUUAUGCCUGCCAACGACAAUUUUUUUUGAGGGAAAAAACUAAUUGGAAUGUGGCCCCCUCUCGGGGGGGUGUUAUAGCCUUUUAGAAAAUACCUUGAAUUGGAUUGAGGAACGCAGUGAAUGCCUUUAGGCAAGAUUGCUGGGCGCUUUCGCUAAUAAAUGCUAGAAUUUCUGCUUCGGGUGGUGCUAGUGUUUAAAGGAGAAACUCGCUUGGUAUAUUUUUUAUUCGCUUAGGUUGUUGGCUUAAUGACUCUAAAUGAC
Molecule: ribosomal RNA, 678 nt
Filed under: Mucor flavus
Lineage: Eukaryota; Fungi; Mucoromycota; Mucoromycetes; Mucorales; Mucoraceae
Description: partial 28S ribosomal RNA
Rfam family: Eukaryotic large subunit ribosomal RNA
Source: RNAcentral